This 898-nucleotide long non-coding RNA is filed under the name Malus domestica (apple). Its description in RNAcentral is "long non-coding RNA (MDOM_LNC020852)". The record is from RNAcentral. Lineage: Eukaryota; Viridiplantae; Streptophyta; Magnoliopsida; Rosales; Rosaceae.
CUUGCCUCGUGUAGGGAUUUUGACGGGAGCUGUGUUGACUGUCAUUGCUUCCUUGGUGGGUUUCCACGCAGUCUUCUCCAACUUUGGCCCAAGAACUUUGUCGUUCUUGUAGUCGGUGAUCGAUUCUUUCUUUCCAUGAUGGGCGAUGAUCAACUCCAUGUCAUGGGCGCGAGUGGCCAAUUCCUCGAAAGUCCGUGGUUUAAUGCCUUGAAUGAUGUAUUGCAAACCCCAUUGCAUGCCUUGGAUGCACAUCUCGAUUGAAGAGGUUUCCGAGAGCCUGUCUUUACAGUCGAGGCUUAGAGUGCGCUAUCUGUUGAUGUAGUCAAUGACUGGCUUGUCCUUCCACUGCUUUGUGCUCGUUAGCUCUAGCAUGCUUACAGUGCGACGGGUGUUGUAGAAGCGGUUGAGGAAUUCUCGCUCUAAUUGCUCCCAGCUGUUGAUGGACUCAGGCUCUAGGUCUGUGUACCACUCAAAGGCGUUUCCUUUCAGCGAGUGCACAAACUGCUUGGCGAGGUAAUCCCCUUUCGGUCCCUGCGUUGUUGCAAGUUUCAACAAAGUGGGCAACGUGCUGUUUCGGGUUUCCCUUUCCAUCGAAUUGCAUGAACUUUGGUGGUUGAUAACCCCUCGGCAUCCUUAAGGCAUCAAUUUUCUUUGAAUACGCCUUCGAGUACAACCCGGAGGUAUUUGAGCUCCCUUCGUAUUGUGCCUUGACGGUGUUGGCGAUCAUCUCCUGCAGUUGCUGGAUAGAAAGAGAUCCCAUGAGUGCCGCUGCUUGGUCUGGCUCCGGCUUCACAUCGAUAUUCUCCACCGGAGGCUCCUCUUCUGGGUUAGGGUUAUCGCCGUCCUGUGGCUCCAGUCGGCUGACGAGUGCAGCGAUUUGCAAGUCUUUUUCUUCCAC